AGAGCGAACGCUGGCGGCGUGCUUAACACAUGCAAGUCGAGUGCGCAGUUUUCUGUAGCAAUACAGGAAACCGGCGCACGGCGCACGGGUGCGUAACACGUGGAUAACCUGCCCUCCAAAGGGGGAUAACCCCGCGAAAGCGGGGCUAAUACCGCAUGACAUUCCGAGAACCUCGGUUUUUGGAAUCAAAGCCCGCAAGGGCGUUGGGGGAGGGGUCCGCGGCCGAUUAGCUUGUUGGCGAGGUAAUGGCUCACCAAGGCAAUGAUCGGUAGCCGGUCUGAGAGGAUGGCCGGCCACACUGGAACUGAGACACGGUCCAGACUCCUACGGGAGGCAGCAGUGGGGAAUAUUGCGCAAUGGGCGAAAGCCUGACGCAGCGACGCCGCGUGGGGGAUGAAGCUUCUCGGAGUGUAAACCCUUUCGACCCGGACGAAACGCCCGCAAGGGCUUGGACGGUACGGGUAUAAGAAGCCCGGCUAACUACGCGCCAGCAGCCGCGGU
This 501-nucleotide ribosomal RNA is filed under the name uncultured bacterium. RNAcentral's name for it is "SSU rRNA". It matches the Rfam family "Bacterial small subunit ribosomal RNA", at positions 26 to 521 of the family's 1533-position model. The record is from RNAcentral.